UUGCUGUCGGGUCAGGGCCUGAAAAUUUUUUAUGUAUCGUCUCAAGGCUGCUAACUUCUCGUCAAUGGACAUGGAAUGUGAUGAAUGAAGGCUUGUUUAACCUUGUCCUGCAUUAAAGUGAGGUCGGUGCAUUCUUCUUGAUAGCAAAGUUGCGGGCUGACAUGAAGUUGGACAUGCUUAAAGGCUGAAGAUCGUCACUCCAGUCUUCCUUGUAUGUGUGGUAUUUAUAAAGAAUUUGGAUAUUGACAUCGAUAAGGAAGGAGACGAGCAAAAAACAAAAAAGAGAAAAGUGG
Coffea arabica (coffee) is the source of this 293-nucleotide non-coding RNA. NCBI's taxonomy places the organism in Eukaryota, Viridiplantae, Streptophyta, Magnoliopsida, Gentianales, Rubiaceae. The record is from RefSeq and is a predicted model, not a curated record.